AGUGAACGCUGGCGGUAUGCCUAACACAUGCAAGUCGAACGGCAGCACAGUAAGCUCUUGCUCUUACGGUUGGCGACUGGCGGACGGGUGACACAUGCAUCGCAAUCUUCUUUUUCUUGGGGGAUAACGUAGGGAAACUUACACUACUACCUCAUACGACCUACGGGUGGAAUCAGUGGAUCUUCGGACCUUUCGCGAUUGAAUGAGCCGAUGUCGGAUUAGCUAGUUGGCUGGGUAAAGGCACACCAAGGCGACGAUCCGUAGCUGGUCUGAGAGGAUGAUCAGCCACACUGGAACUGAGACACGGUCCAGACUCCUACGGGAGGCAGCAGUGGGGAAUAUUGGACAAUGGGCGAAAGCCUGACGCAGCCAUACCGCGUGAGUGAAGAAGGUCUUCGGGUUGUAAAGCCCUUUUAUUGGGAAAGAAAAGCAGUAGGUUAAUCCACCCAUGUUUUGACGGUACCCAAUGAAUAAGCACCGGCUAACUUCGUG
This 492-nucleotide ribosomal RNA is filed under the name uncultured bacterium. RNAcentral describes it as "partial 16S ribosomal RNA". It matches the Rfam family "Bacterial small subunit ribosomal RNA", at positions 29 to 507 of the family's 1533-position model. The record is from RNAcentral.